Long non-coding RNA from Triticum urartu, 373 nucleotides. RefSeq lists it as uncharacterized. The record is from RefSeq and is a predicted model, not a curated record. NCBI's taxonomy places the organism in Eukaryota, Viridiplantae, Streptophyta, Magnoliopsida, Poales, Poaceae.
CAAACAAAGCAUAGGCAUGGCCAUGGGAGCAUGGUGGGAGAUGAAGAAGAGCUUAUUAGUGAAGCUGAGUGUGUAUCUGCUGAUCAUCGCCAUGGCUAACUGUGCUCGGGAUAUUCCUGACUCCGUUGCCAAGAACACUCACGUACAAACACCUGCGACGACAUCAGCGAGACGUGGCGCGGGGGGUUGUGCGCCAAGCACGGCACUUGUAACAAGCCGUGCCGAUCCGGGCGGAAGGGUACGACUCGGGCUUCUGCGCCGCCUUCCCCUUCCUGACCACCUACUGCUGUAAGAAGAACUGUGUUGAUGCUCUGCAGCCACGCAGGAGCAGCUUUUUCUGCCAAUGGUGAAAUAAAUAAAUCUCAUUUCGAUC